AUUGAACGCUGGCGGCAGGCUUAACACAUGCAAGUCGAGCGAGCGGCGGACGGGUGAGUAAUGUCUGGGAAACUGCCUGAUGGAGGGGGAUAACUACUGGAAACGGUAGCUAAUAACGCAUACCCUCCGAUGAGCCCAGAUGGGAUGCGCUAGUAGGUGGGGUAAUGGCUCACCGAGGCGACGUUCCCUAGCUGGUCUGAGAGGAUGACCAGCAAAACUGGAACUGAGACACGGUCCAGACUCCUACGGGAGGAAGCAGUGGGGAAUAUUGCACAAUGGGCGCAAGCCUGAUGAAGCAAUGCCGCGUGGGUGAAGAAGGCUUUCGGGUUGUAAAGUACUUUCAGCGGGGAGGCGUUACCCGCAGAAGAAGCACCGGCUAACUCCGUGCCAGCAGCCGCGGUAAUUC
Molecule: ribosomal RNA, 406 nt
Filed under: uncultured bacterium
Lineage: Bacteria
Description: partial 16S ribosomal RNA
Rfam family: Bacterial small subunit ribosomal RNA
Source: RNAcentral